Long non-coding RNA from Mus musculus (house mouse), 522 nucleotides. RefSeq annotates it as predicted gene, 51916. The transcript is spliced from 3 exons. The record is from RefSeq and is a predicted model, not a curated record. NCBI's taxonomy places the organism in Eukaryota, Metazoa, Chordata, Mammalia, Rodentia, Muridae.
GGACUGUGGGGACCCCGACUCCUGUCAUUCAGCUUCAUCCAGUCACGUGAUCCCUACGUAAACUCACCACACGCUCAGACACUGGUACCACGGACCUACGCAGCCUCGGCCCUCACCGGCACUGACUUGAGCAUCAGUAGGAGUAAAGCAACAGGAUGUAGAUCAGCUGAUCGGAAACGGCAGACAGGAGUGGCUGCAUUUUCUUCCCAGGAACAUUUUGAACACACUGUUCCCAGCCCUGGAGCCGCCCAGGUCCUAUUGCUCCCCUCGCUCCUUCCGCCUUCCCCAGCAGGACGCUGGGGCACAACCUCAUUUCUCUUCCGUCCCGGCCCUGGGAUCAACCCAGCACAUGCUACCUGUCUCAUCCAGGGUGAGGAUCUGUUCUUUCCCAUCAGACCUGGAUGUUAAGAACUGUGCUUUGGGCCUGGCGGUGCUGGCAUUCGCCUUUGAUAUCAGGACUCCGGUGGCAAAGGCAGGUGGAUCUCUGAGUUCGAGGCCAGCCUGCUGUAUGUAGGAAGUUCU